Penaeus vannamei (Pacific white shrimp) is the source of this 2520-nucleotide non-coding RNA. The record is from RefSeq and is a predicted model, not a curated record. Lineage: Eukaryota; Metazoa; Arthropoda; Malacostraca; Decapoda; Penaeidae.
AUGGUGUGGGUGAUGGGUGGUGUCAGGAAUGAUGGGCCAGUGUCAGGAGUGAUGGGCCAGUGUCAUGAUGGGGCCAGUGGAGUAAUGGGUGGGUGGCAGGAUGAUGGGCCAGUGUCAGGGAGGAGGGCCAGUGUCAGGAAUGAUGGGUUGGUGUCAGGAGGAUGGGCCAGUGUCAGAGUAAUGAUGACAGUGUCAGGAAUGAUGCCAGUGUCAGGGAUGAUCGGCCAGUGUCAGGAAUGCUGGGCCAGUGUCAGGCAUAAUGGAUACGGCUUCAACACGCCGCCCAACUACAACGACCACGAGAUCUACUGCGGCGGCUACGCGAGGCAGUGGGAGAAACGGCGGGAAGUGCGGCCCGUGCGGGGACCCCUGGGACGCGCCGCAGCCUCGCGACAAUGAAGGGGGCGGCAAGUAUGGAAGAGGAGUAAUCGUAAAGAAAUACAAGCACAGCAGCAUUGUGAACCUUGGAGUCCAGCUCACAGCCAACCAUAUGGGAUUCUUCGAGUUCCGCCUGUGUCCCCACAACCAGCCCAACAAGCCUGUUACAAAUGAAUGUCUGGAUCAGAAUGUUUUGCAGAAGGCUGAUGGAUCUGGUACACGGUAUUAUCCUGGUCCAGGUGCCAAGACCUUCUAUUCAAGAUACCGCCUUCCCCUUGGACUGACCUGCAAGCAAUGUGUUUUGCAGUGGCGUUAUGUAGCAGGCAAUAACUGGGGUAAAUGUGAAAAUGGCACAGGAAUGGUUGGCUGUGGACCUCAGGAACAGUUCCGGUCUUGUUCAGAUAUCACCAUCACAGAAGAAGAUGGAUAUGCUGAUGAAACACCAAGUUAUGUACCAGACUAUGAUGAUUACAACGAAGUUGACACCGAGACUCAGGAAGGAUUGCCCAAAGUACCAGAAGACACUGCCAACCAUGUGGGACACAUUGUGGCACUCACCCUAUCCUUCCUGUUGGUUGUGCUGGUCUUGUUUGGUCUCGUUGUAUACUUCUACUGGGCUCGUGAUGCUUUCAAAGGCUUCAUGAAGAGCCAAGCAGGGCGCUGGUCAAAGACUCCUCCACCUGUACCAACCUCCGCUCCUCAAAAGAGCUCUAUUAUUACAAUUUCUGGACCUAUUGGAGCACCUCCACCAGUUCCUCCCCGCCGUCAGCGAUCUGUAUCAGGUGGAGAACCUGCUUUGAAUUCUGAUCAGAGAGAGAUACGAUCAAUUAGUGCUCCUACUAGGGUAACUAUCAAUGGCAUUGCUGUACGUCCUAGUGGUGCUGAUAAUGGCAUUUCACAAGCUCGACUCCAUGUGCCUGAUGAUUGAGUAGUGUAAUCUGUAACCAUUGUAAUAAUGCAAGGGUUGUAAGUUUCUUUGGGAUGUAAACUAGUAUUUUUGUUUUUUUUAACAGUGUAACCAUUCCAAUGUAAAAUUAUAUUCAUGUCUGUAGUGAAUUUUACUUGAAUAUGUAUAGCAUGAACUCCUAAGCAUUCUUAGUGUAGCUGGCCAGUUCUUAGUUAUAUUUAUAACUGCAACCAGUGCUUUGUGUCUGAUUUAAGUGAUACUGUCUGCUCUUGGAAAUGUGGAAUAUUUAAUAUAAUUUAUAUGUUCCAAAUUAACAUCACAAGAGUAUUUUUCUUCACAACCAAAAGUGCAUGACCAAGGAAACCUGUAGUACUGAACACUUUAUGCAUUAAGUAGACUGCACCAGGUCAUGAUUUUUUCUGGGUAUUAUAUAUAUUUUUUUGCUUUUAGGUUUUUCAUGCAUUUCAGUUUAGAAAUCCUAGUGCAUUGUAAAAUAAGUCUACCAAGAAUAUUUUGAAAAUUCGAUUGGAUUUUUUUUUUUUUUUUUUUUUUUUUUCGUCUGGAGGUACUGAUUUGAAAUCUUGUAUAAUGUCAAUUCUGAAGGCAGUAUUGUGUGAUUUGGGAAUGUAGAUAUCUUGAGUGUAAAAGCAGUAAUUAAAUUCAUUCUUUAUAGUUAUCAUAAAACUUGAUUUACACAUUUUGGCUGGUACAAUUACUGUAGGCCUCUUGCCUGUUUUUGUUGAUAAAUGUAAAGGACUUUGAAUUUGGUACAAUAUCUGCUUUGACAUAUUUGAGACAAUGUGAUCAGUUAUGUAAUAAUUUGCAGAUAGUCUGCAGUCUCAAUAUUAUUAAUAAUCUUCCAGAUGUCCCAUUUCAUGGUUAGAUCUUUGUGAAUAUGUUCAUGUAGUGGAUACAUUUCUGUGCAGUCCCACAUUUUGUUUGUGGAUUUCCUAUAUAUGAAAGCCACUAAUGCAUUAGAGAGGUUUCACUGCCUUUUGCCAUGUUUUAUUUAAUUCAUGUUAUAAUUGUAAAGUUGCCACCAGUAACUAGUUUGUGAUAAUACACAAGUGUGAAUAACUGAGUUUUGUGCUAGUUAUGAGAUGCCAUGCAGACUGAUUGGCAUAUUAAUGAAUGGAUGUAAAAUGUCCAACUGACAUGAAAGCAAAUAUUUUUGUACUGGUGAAGCAAGAUCCCAUGUGAUUUUUGUAUGUGAUGUAAUACAGAAUUUAAUAGAA